This is a non-coding RNA of Triticum urartu, 2016 nucleotides long. The record is from RefSeq and is a predicted model, not a curated record. Lineage: Eukaryota; Viridiplantae; Streptophyta; Magnoliopsida; Poales; Poaceae.
AUCCUCUGAUGUUGUACUGUGACAACAAAGCUGCCAUUGACAUUGCAAAUAACCCUGUUCAGCAUGAUCGAACCAAGCAUAUAGAAAUUGAUCGUCAUUUUAUUAAGGAGAAGCUUGAUAGAGGGAUAAUUUGCCUACCGUAUGUAACCUCAGCUAGUCAGGUAGCAGAUGUCCUUACAAAAGGACUCCCCGAAAAAACAUUUUUCAUGUUUUGUAGCAAGAUGGGUUUGUAUGAUGUAUUUGCCCCAUCUUGAGGGGGAGUGUUGGUGUAUGACUAUAUUUACCUAGUUCCUUAGGGACUAAAAUGUAAAAUGUACACAUACUAUAGAUGUAUACAGAGAGAGGGACCGAGGAGAAUGGUCCAGAAAUUUCCCCAAAUCCUCUCCAUGGUUCUUCCAAUCCCUAAAACUAUUCUCUCAAAUCUUGCUUGAUUUUCAAGAACUGAGCUGGGGACAACUUUUUCCGGACGGAGGGAGUAUGAUGUAGACUACCAGCCCAUGCUGCCACAUCGAGCUUUCCGAAGGUGUGGUCUUGUGGUUUACUGUCGCUCGCUGCAGGCCUCAGCUUGGAACAACCAACGAGCAUUUUUUGCGGAUUAAAAACACGGAAUAGAAUUGCGGUCGAUCCCUCCCCUCCCCUCCAAUGGCUUCGCUCUGCUCCUAAUCUGCUUCAUUGAUGGGCUGCUUGCUGCUUGGGCUCCACUGACUUGAACAGCCCAGUCCUAAAUGGGCUCGAGCAUCCAUAAGGCCCAACCGUGCCAUCCCCACUCCGCCACUCUGCUCAGACGCGUCAGCGGAUAGAUGACAAUGGCAAUGGCCGCCGCCACCAGCUCGGAGCGGCGCGCCGGCGACCAUGGCCGCCGCACCGAAGAGCGCGGGCGCCGUCGCUGCGCGCCGUACCCGUCGCAAGUGAGCGAGCGUGGUGCUUCAGAAUUUGCGUAGCAAUCAGUUGAUUUUCUUGGUUUUGGUGCUUCAGAACCCUCACCCCUCAGCCAACCGAUGCGUAUGCAGUAAAAUGUGCUACGAAAAAGGCAAGUAAAACAUUUGUCGUCAGAUUGCAGACUUCAUUUUCUGCAGUUCUGAUUGUGUUUAAUCAAUAUCUUUUGGCCACACAAAUCAUAUUAAGAUCGUAUUAAGAUGGUUUGGUUCACAAGUCAUUUUCUGCAGUUCUUGGCACACAUCCAACCAAUGCCCCUCGCCACCUAUUGAGCUUCACAAAUAAUUUUCUGCAGUUCUUGGCACACUAUUAAGCUUCCACUAAGUGCUCUGCUCUGACUACAUAGAGGGUGCUAGUUCCAGAACUUAAAUUUACAAGUGAACUUGAAUUUCUGGCCACCAAUUUCAACUACGAUUUCAUAUGUGAAGAGAAGCGAAAUCUUGUCUAGCAAUCAGUUGAUUUUGUUGCUUCAGAACCCUCACCAAUGCGUAUGCAGUAAAGGCAGAAACAGAACUAAAACAUUUGUUGUCAGAUUGUCCACAUACGCGGUAUGCUGGUUUGCUAACUCAUUUUCUACAGUUCUGAUUGUGCUUAAUCAAUAUCUUUUGGCCACACAAAUUAUAUUAAGAUGGCUUGGUUCACAGUGUGCUCUGUCAAUCGGCUAUAACCAAUAAAUUACCCUUCCUCUUAGGCUGUUCUUGGCACACCUAUUGAGAUUCGACUAAUUGUUCUGACUACAUAGAGGGUAACAGAGCUCAGCAACAGUGACAAAGAUUUUCUUGGAAACGAGGAAGGAUGCUACUAUUAUUAUUUCAGAAACAACGCCAAUGUCGCUCCUAUUAUUCAACAGUAACAUCCAAGAAAUACGCAAUCACCAACCGACUGGCACACACCACAUUUUCGUCUGUCUCGACUCACUCCCACUACUAAACCAAACUAGCACACCAAUUACUCGACCUUGAAUCUUAAAAAGAGCAGCGCCUAGGAAGAAAACGAAAGCAUUCUCAAAUCUCAAUCUUUUCUUUCAGAAAUCCAAGGGACCCUUCUAUCGGGCAGGAGGUGGCCAGAUCACUUGCUCGA